This 169-nucleotide ribosomal RNA is filed under the name uncultured bacterium. Its description in RNAcentral is "partial 16S ribosomal RNA". It matches the Rfam family "Bacterial small subunit ribosomal RNA", at positions 338 to 524 of the family's 1533-position model. The record is from RNAcentral.
CCUACGGGAGGCAGCAGUGGGGAAUUUUGCGCAAUGGGGGAGACCCUGACGCAGCAACGCCGCGUGGAGGAUGAAGCCCUUUGGGGCGUAAACUCCUUUCGACCGGGACGAUGAUGACGGUACUGGUGGAAGAAGCACCGGCUAACUACGUGCCAGCAGCCGCGGUAAU